CGCAUGCCCUGGGCUCACGAGCGCUGCCGGCCCCCAGCCGCCAACGUGAUCCUGUUGGCCGCUACCCGGCCCCGCCGCGGCUGGCUGCGCGGCUUGGACCUCUGGCGGCCCGGCAGUGAGUUUCCUGCGUGAGCAGCGGCGGGGGCGUUUUCCCGCGCCGGGACGGGGGACGUUCGCGCCCCCACUUUGCUGCGACCUUUGCGGGCCCACCGGCGGGUGCGGGCGGCGAGCGUCUGCGCGGGGCGGAGGGACGCCAUACCGCGGGAGGGAGGGCUCCGUGUGAGUUUUUUUGUGCGACUGCGGCGGGAGCCUGUGGCGCGAGGGCGCGGGGACCCCGGCGUGGCAGAGCCAUGGAUGGACCGGCUCCGGGCAAAAAGCUGCGGUCGAGGUCGCAGCGAGAUCGGGAGAGGCGCUCCCGGGGCGGUCUGGGGGCCCGCGCGGCUGCGGGGCCGGCCUGACCCGGGUGCCCUAGCUAGCUUCAUCUUUGGGCUCCAACAAGGAAGACAAUGGGAAGCCCCGGUCCUCCUCCGGGUCUGGCCCAGACCCCCGCGGAGGAAGCGGCGGGAGUCCACCUUGGCCAAAGAGGACAUCAUCUAUGGGUUUGCCAGGACCAGCUUUGUCACUUUUGAAGCGCUGGAGGUAAGCGCCCCCUCCCCUGUC
This 660-nucleotide long non-coding RNA is filed under the name Marmota monax (woodchuck). The record is from RNAcentral. Lineage: Eukaryota; Metazoa; Chordata; Mammalia; Rodentia; Sciuridae.